Small nucleolar RNA from Protopterus annectens (West African lungfish), 132 nucleotides. The record is from RefSeq and is a predicted model, not a curated record. Lineage: Eukaryota; Metazoa; Chordata; Ceratodontiformes; Protopteridae.
UUGCACUGCCGAGUGACUUUAUGGCCUAAUUGUUGGCUUUAAGAGUAUGAUUUCCAGUGCUAUAUAGAAAUGCCCAGCUUGCAGAAGGGUAUUUUUUGUGUGUUUCUAUCCUUUCGAAGGUCGGGCACAUGA